Molecule: ribosomal RNA, 661 nt
Filed under: uncultured crenarchaeote
Lineage: Archaea; Thermoproteati; Thermoproteota
Description: bacterial SSU rRNA
Rfam family: Archaeal small subunit ribosomal RNA
Source: RNAcentral
AUGGGACUGCGCCCUAUCAGUUUGUUGGUGAGGUAAUGGCCCACCAAGACUAUUACAGGUACGGGCUCUGAGAGGAGUAGCCCGGAGAUGGGUACUGAGACACGGACCCAGGCCCUAUGGGGCGCAGCAGGCGAGAAAACUUUGCAAUGUGCGAAAGCACGACAAGGUUAAUCCGAGUGGUUUCUGCUAAAGAAACCUUUUGUCAGUCCUAGAAACACUGAUGAAUAAGGGGUGGGCAAGUUCUGGUGUCAGCCGCCGCGGUAAAACCAGCACCUCAAGUGGUCAGGAUGAUUAUUGGGCCUAAAGCAUCCGUAGCCGGCUCUGUAAGUUUUCGGUUAAAUCUGUACGCUCAACGUACAGGCUGCCGGGAAUACUGCAGAGCUAGGGAGUGGGAGAGGUAGACGGUACUCGGUAGGAAGGGGUAAAAUCCUUUGAUCUAUUGAUGACCACCUGUGGCGAAGGCGGUCUACCAGAACACGUCCGACGGUGAGGGAUGAAAGCUGGGGGAGCAAACCGGAUUAGAUACCCGGGUAGUCCCAGCUGUAAACUAUGCAAACUCAGUGAUGCAUUGGCUUGUGGCCAAUGCAGUGCUGCAGGGAAGCCGUUAAGUUUGCCGCCUGGGAAGUACGUACGCAAGUAUGAAACUCAAAGGAAUUGACGG